CUCGGGAACACUUUCUAUGUACUAAGUAGAAGGGAUGAGCAUCUUGAAUCGUUUUCACCACUUCAAACUUUAUAAUAAAUCAUGCAAUAAUCUUAAACUCCUAAAAAAAGAUGCUAUUAUUCACCAGAAAUGUCAUAAAAAAAAUAGUACAAAAUAAGGUGUCAGACCACCAAUUAAAAAUCCCUAUCUGUUCAACCAAAUUUUGCAAUUUUCACAGCUUUCUAAAUAUUUUACCUUAAGUUUAACUUCAAGGAAACCAGGUAUAUCCUGAAUUGUACAUGUAUCACCUUCCUACAUGCCAAUUUUCAACCAAUGUUUAAAGUCUUGUAACAAAUUUCUGAUUUUGAAAAGACAGGUACUACCAAAAUAACUCCCGGUUUUCUGGAAAUCUUAAAUUAGUGUAUUAUGUAGCGCAUUAAUCCUGAAUUUUUAAUGCAAAUGUAAUAGUAACAUUUUUAGUGGUCUUGUGAUGUUUGUGAAUAUAAUUUUAUAUAUGUGUUUUAUUUUAUGAAAUAAAAGUUACUAAAAAAAUCUAAAUAAUUUAUUGUGAAACCAUUGCUAUAAAAAUAAUAAAAGUCAGAAAAUAAAUAAUAAAAAGAUAGCAGUUGAAUCUUUUAAUAAAUUGUUUUAAUCAUUUAAUUAAAGUGUUAGCAUUUAUUGUAUAGAAACUGGUCUCUUUAUAUAAUGUGAAUUACCUUUACAUUAUUAUGCAAAUGAGUUUAGUCCGGGUAGAUUUCCCGCUAGUCAUGCACGCUUGGUUAUUGUUUUCGUUUUACGGGUAGAUAGUUAUCUAGCUAGUUCGCUGCUGAAAGUUGACGGGGUUGGAUGUUCUUUUGUAUUGAAGAUUUGUCCAAAGGCAUGUGGUUGUUAUAGUUGAAAAUAUCAGGUAUGUUAGGAUAAUUUCUAUUGUCGGUUUCUGUAUUUUUCGGUUUGAUAUAGUUCAUUUAGCGCGCAUUUGUCAAAUUAGUUCUAGUAAUGCGGGAUUCGCUAUUAUUGUUUAAACUAACACUUAUUGCAUGCAUGUUCCUUAUUUUUACAGUGAAUGCACAUCCUUGACGCACAAGUAUGAGUGGUCAGUGAGCCUAAAAUCCAUAAUUUUGGUAUGUGUAUAUUAAUGUUUUAUAAAAACAUAAUAUUUUAGCGUGAGCGUAUUUUCUCUAUAUUUCGGGUGAAAUGUGUAUGUUAAUGUAGAAAAUGUUUUCUAUGUUCUAUUUUUAUUCUAUUACAUUGAAAAGCAUUUACAAAUUAAGAAGGAUUGGCAUUUAGACCGUUUUACGAUAAAUAAAUACAUACAGUUUAACAUGAGCGUGAAGAAAUAAUUCAUUGUUUACAUACAGUGAUUGCCGACACCUUUUUGUCGAGAAUACUAAGAUAAUUAUAUUUUACUUAGUUUGAUACAUGUGUGCAAAUUAUAAUUGCACGAGGAGGUAUAUUUUGUAGAGUUAUAUAUAAUAGUUUUCAUGUGUAUUACGUGAUAACAGUAAUAUCGAUCGUAUGUACUUAUUGAUCAUAUUCACGGAGUAUUCGACUUGGUAUUUUUAAUGAUAAAGUUCCGAGAACAUUUUCGUAAAGUUAAAGUUAUUUUCUUUUGAUAAUUUAUACAGAUUAGGAAAAAAUGAGAAAUAUAAAUACUUUGUUUUAUUGUGCCAUUGUGUUAUGUAAAUGCGUUUAUAUAUGUUGAAUAUUAUAUUUAUAAUUUUAAUACAGAUAUUGGCAGAUAAUUAUAAUUGUAUUUAUUAUGUUUUGUAGGGCGUUUAUUUCAUUAUAUUGAAUACGUCUGGUGCCAAUAAUAAAAUUAUCAACUUUUACUGGAUUGGUUUUGUUAGCCACAUGACACCCCGUUACACAAACUCAUAGACAAGUGAAUUUUGGCUCAAAAUGGUCUAAAUAUAUUUCCCUUUCACCAAAAGUUUCAUUUUUGCAAAUUUGUUGGUUAGUUUAAGUAAACAAUGACAUCAAAAGCACUAUUUUGUGUCAAAGUAGCACUACUUUUACAUACAUUCUAAAUUGGAGGGAGUAAUUGGUGGUCUGACACCUAAAGAGCCAAAAAAGUUGCUCAGAAAUCUUUGCUUUGCUUUAUUCUUAAUCCUUAGUCAAUUUGAAGUCAGAAACAUCCUAUCUGAGCAUAAUGUGACUUAUAUUACAAAUUUCACAGCUCAACUUAAACUGACUGUAAUGUAUGACUUUGAUAGAAAAUUACUGAAAAUUUCAUUUUGGACUACAGGAACAUAAACUUCAAUAUCAGAUCAGUUUUGUUGAUUUUUUUUCUUGUUUGUUCUACUUCUUAAAAGACUUUCCACAAUUUUUACAAUGGGUAAGUAAAAAAUUCAAGGUAUUGAAGAGUCAAGAAUAUUGACCCCCUUUUUUACACCUGUGUAAGUAAUGGACUAUAAAUGAUCAAAAGUGCAGUCAUGUCAUUUAACUGUUUUUAUUUUCUAUCAGUUGAUACAACUUAAGGCAUAAAACUUUUCAUUUGAGAUAAUAAAUGAGAUUUUUUGUGAGUUUUUGCAAUGUUUACAUAAGGCUAUGUUAUUGCAAAUACAUGCUAUGACGCAUGAUAUAAGGGAUAAAAAUCAAUAAUUCAUUAAAUCUUGAUGACAAGAACUUUUUUUGGUGGUAAAAUAACCAUAUUUUAAUGUUAAUACCACAGAAACAUCUUGCUGUGCAUUUAUAACAAUUUGGGACAUUUUUUUUAUGUGAAAGCAUAUUGUCAGGGUGGGAAAAGCUAAAAAUAGCACAAAUUCAGGUCUAAGGCUCUAAAUUUGAAAAUAUGUGACUUUUUGCCCCAAAAAGAUUGAAAUGUGACUACUAUCACUUCAUAUUGAUCAGUUAAGUACAAAAAAUCAAUUGUUUUCUGAAUUUGGGGUUUCACCGCAUUUCCCUUAAAGGUGUCAGACCACCAAUUAAAAAUCCCUAUCUGUUCAACCAAAUUUUGCAAUUUUCACAGCUUUCUAAAUAUUUUACCUUAAGUUUAACUUCAAGGAAACCAGGUAUAUCCUGAAUUGUACAUGUAUCACCUUCCUACAUGCCAAUUUUCAACCAAUGUUUAAAGUCUUGUAACAAAUUUCUGAUUUUGAAAAACAGGUACUACCAAAUAACUCCCGUUUUCUGGAAAUCUUAAAUUAGUGUACUAUGUAGCGCAUUAAUCCUGAAUUUUUAAUGCAAACUCAUAGACAAGUGAAUUUUGGCUCAAAAUGGUCUAAAUAUAUUUUCAUUUCUGCAAAUUUGCUGGUUAGUUUAAGUAAACAAUGACAUCAAAAGCACUAUUUUGUGUCAAAGUAGGACUACUUUUACAUACAUUCUAAAUUGGAGGGAGUAAUUGGUGGUCUGACACCAUAAGGUGGUCGGGUAAAUAAAGCUGAUAGUUGUCACAUAUAAAAUUCUAGAGGUCAGAAGGCAUAUUUUAAAUUGACGAAUAUAUUUUAAAAUACUCCUUGUGACAUUCAAAAUUUACAUUUAUAUUUGAUCAUACUGUAAAACCAGUUGUACUGUAUGCUUCUGAAAUUUUAGGCAUGUUUGACACCA
Molecule: long non-coding RNA, 3525 nt
Filed under: Mytilus galloprovincialis (Mediterranean mussel)
Lineage: Eukaryota; Metazoa; Mollusca; Bivalvia; Mytilida; Mytilidae
Source: RNAcentral